GUUCACACUUUUAAUUUCUGUAAAGUAUUCAGUUUUUAAGCACUUGAACCCUCUGCAGCAUUACUAUCAUGAGCAUGCUUAUAUUACAAAAAGUUUACACAAAUUAUGGUAGGUGAACUAAAACCCUUCAAAGGAAUGUACAUAAAAUAAUAUCACUUACAUGUUUUUUAUUAAUUUAUAUUAUGUUGGGGAUUUGCAGCAUGACAUGUUUAGCUGCAUUAACUGCACAUUUAGAAGAAAAGAUGCGUAUGGAAACCUAAUUUGCACAAUUUACUUUGCUUCUUAACUUAAAGAAUCUUCACUGUAUAAACAUGACCAUACAUGAGAAAGUGUAUCUGUUAAACAUUUCAGCUUGUAUGUUUAUAGGUUAAAUAUUUAUUAAAUUAUGUACAUGUUGAUGUGACUUGAAAUAAUAUUUAGUGUGUGUUUCUAUUACAGUUAAAGGAAAAGCUACAAAUAGUACUCCAAGGGAGCCAAACAUUUUCUUUGCUUAUAGGAAGCUUGAUGGAUCUGAAACAGAAGUGGAAUAGACAGAAGCUGUGAUGGUGACCUGCACUAUAAAAUAAAAAUUCAUCCACUUUUGGAACUAUAUAUUUUAACAAGAAGACAUUAAUUUUCCUCAAUAUUAAAGUGUAAUUUCAAAACAGCAAGUUAUGGGCAAUGGAAUAUUCUUAUUAAAAGAACAAAUGUGUUGAGUGAAAUUAUUCUUUUGUUUUGUAUGGAAGUAAUUAAAAGAAAGUCUGUAUCUGAGGUAGUGGCAAGUCUGUGUACAGUCAUGACAACUGUAUGUAUACAAACAUGAGUAAUGGAUACAUCCACUGGUUAUUCUAAGUGCUGGACAACUAAUGUAGAGAAAUAAAUUUGAAUUGUAAUUUGCAGCCAUUUGCUGACAGACUUACAGAGUGGCUUAAUUUUCAUGUGCUCCCAGGACAUGUAUCAAAUAAGGGAUGAUUUAUUGUAAUUUUCAUGUACAAAAUGUUUAAAUAAAUAACUGACCCAGUCUUA
Long non-coding RNA from Protopterus annectens (West African lungfish), 1005 nucleotides. RefSeq lists it as uncharacterized. The transcript is spliced from 2 exons. NCBI's taxonomy places the organism in Eukaryota, Metazoa, Chordata, Ceratodontiformes, Protopteridae. The record is from RefSeq and is a predicted model, not a curated record.